GACGAACGCUGGCGGCGUGCUUAACACAUGCAAGUCGAACGGAAAGGCCCUGCUUUUGUGGGGUGCUCGAGUGGCGAACGGGUGAGUAACACGUGAGUAACCUGCCCUUGACUUUGGGAUAACUUCAGGAAACUGGGGCUAAUACCGGAUAGGAGCUCCUGCUGCAUGGUGGGGGUUGGAAAGUUUCGGCGGUUGGGGAUGGACUCGCGGCUUAUCAGCUUGUUGGUGGGGUAGUGGCUUACCAAGGCUUUGACGGGUAGCCGGCCUGAGAGGGUGACCGGCCACAUUGGGACUGAGAUACGGCCCAGACUCCUACGGGAGGCAGCAGUGGGGAAUAUUGCACAAUGGGCGGAAGCCUGAUGCAACAACGCCGCGUGCGGGAUGACGGCCUUCGGGUUGUAAACCGCUUUCGCCUGUGACGAAGCGUGAGUGACGGUAAUGGGUAAAGAAGCACCGGCUAACUACGUGCCAGCAGCCGCGGUGAUACGUAGGGUGCGAGCGUUGUCCGGAUUUAUUGGGCGUAAAGGGCUCGUAGGUGGUUGAUCGCGUCGGAAGUGUAAUCUUGGGGCUUAACCCUGAGCGUGCUUUCGAUACGGGUUGACUUGAGGAAGGUAGGGGAGAAUGGAAUUCCUGGUGGAGCGGGUGGAAUGCGCAGAUAUCAGGAGGAACACCAGUGGCGAAGGCGGUUCUCUGGGCCUUUCCUGACGCUGAGGAGCGAAAGCGUGGGGAGCGAACAGGCUUAGAUACCCUGGUAGUCCACGCUGUAAACGGUGGGUACUAGGUGUGGGGUCCAUUCCACGGGUUCCGUGCCGUAGCUAACGCUUUAAGUACCCCGCCUGGGGAGUACGGCCGCAAGGCUAAAACUCAAAGGAAUUGACGGGGCCCCGCACAAGCGGCGGAGCAUGCGGAUUAAUUCGAUGCAACGCGUAGAACCUUACCUGGGUUUGACAUGGAUCGGGAGUGCCCAGAGAUGGGUGUGCCUCUUUUGGGGUCGGUUCACAGGUGGUGCAUGCCUGUCGUCAGCUCGUGUCGUGAGAUGUUGGGUUAAGUCCCGCAACGAGCGCAACCCUUGUUCACUGUUGCCAGCACGUUAUGGUGGGGACUCAGUGGAGACCGCCGGGGUCAACUCGGAGGAAGGUGGGGAUGACGCCAAGUCCUCAUGCCCCUUAUGUCCAGGGCUUCACGCAUGCUACAAUGGCUGGUACAGAGAGUGGCGAGCCUGUGAGGGUGAGCGAAUCUCGGAAAGCCGGUCUCAGUUCGGAUUGGGGUCUGCAACCCGACCUCAUGAAGUCGGAGUCGCUAGUAAUCGCAGAUCAGCAACGCUGCGGUGAAUACGUUCCCGGG
Molecule: ribosomal RNA, 1344 nt
Filed under: uncultured bacterium
Lineage: Bacteria
Description: 16S ribosomal RNA
Rfam family: Bacterial small subunit ribosomal RNA
Source: RNAcentral